RNAcentral lists this long non-coding RNA (662 nucleotides) under Brassica rapa (field mustard). RNAcentral's name for it is "long non-coding RNA (BRAP_LNC008586)". Lineage: Eukaryota; Viridiplantae; Streptophyta; Magnoliopsida; Brassicales; Brassicaceae. The record is from RNAcentral.
UCCGAUCAACCUUACAAGAAGAACACAAGAGCUUCAAAGAAUCCGAUCACUUCAAGAAUCCAUGACUUCAAUAAUCCAUGACUUAGCUUCUAUCAAAGAACACAAACGAGUUGACCUUUUUAAUCUGAUCGACCGCAGCGUGGCUGUACAUGGAGCUCAAUCACCGUUGGUUACAAUCCGAUCAACCUUACAAGAAGAACACAAGAGCUUCAAAUAUUCCGAUCACUUCAAGAAUCCAUGACUUUCAAGAAUCCAUGUCUUAGCUUCUAUCAAAGAACACAAACGAGUUGACCUUUUAAUCUGAUCGACCGUGGCGUGGCUGUACACGGAGCUCAAUCACCGUUGGUUACAAUCCGAUCAACCUUACAAGAAGAACACAAGAGCUUUAAAGAAUCCGAUCACUUCAAGAAUCCAUGACUUCAAGAAUCCAUGACUUAGCUUCUAUCAAAGAACACAAGCGAGUUGGCCUUUUUAAUCUGAUCGACCGCGGUGUGGCUGUACAUGGAGCUCAAUCACUGUUGGUUACAAUCCGAUCAACCUUACAAGAAGAACACAAGAGCUUCAAAGAAUCCGAUCACUUCAAGAAUCCAUGACUUCAAGAAUCCAUGACUUAGCUUCUAUCAAAGAACACAAACGAGUUGACCUUUUUAAUCUGAUCGACC